GAUGAACGCUGGCGGCGUGCCUAAUACAUGCAAGUCGAGCGAACAGACGAGGAGCUUGCUCCUCUGACGUUAGCGGCGGACGGGUGAGUAACACGUGGAUAACCUACCUAUAAGACUGGGAUAACUUCGGGAAACCGGAGCUAAUACCGGAUAAUAUAUUGAACCGCAUGGUUCAAUAGUGAAAGACGGUUUUGCUGUCACUUAUAGAUGGAUCCGCGCCGCAUUAGCUAGUUGGUAAGGUAACGGCUUACCAAGGCAACGAUGCGUAGCCGACCUGAGAGGGUGACCGGCCACACUGGAACUGAGACACGGUCCAGACUCCUACGGGAGGCAGCAGUAGGGAAUCUUCCGCAAUGAGCGAAAGCCUGACGGAGCAACGCCGCGUGAGUGAUGAAGGUCUUCGGAUCGUAAAACUCUGUUAUUAGGGAAGAACAAAUGUGUAAGUAACUAUGCACGUCUUGACGGUACCUAAUCAGAAAGCCACGGCUAACUACGUG
Molecule: ribosomal RNA, 497 nt
Filed under: uncultured bacterium
Lineage: Bacteria
Description: partial 16S ribosomal RNA
Rfam family: Bacterial small subunit ribosomal RNA
Source: RNAcentral